AGCGGUCCAAGUUCCUUGGAACAGGACGUCACAGAGGGUGAGAAUCCCGUACGUGGUCGCUAGCCUUUACCGUGUAAAGCCCCUUCGACGAGUCGAGUUGUUUGGGAAUGCAGCUCUAAAUGGGAGGUAAAUUUCUUCUAAAGCUAAAUACUGGCCAGAGACCGAUAGCGCACAAGUAGAGUGAUCGAAAGAUGAAAAGCACUUUGGAAAGAGAGUUAAAAAGCACGUGAAAUUGUUGAAAGGGAAGCGCUUGCAGCCAGACUUGCCUGUAGUUGCUCAUCCGGGUUUUUACCCGGUGCACUCUUCUAUAGGCAGGCCAGCAUCAGUUUGGGCGGUUGGAUAAAGGUCUCUGUCAUGUACCUCUCUUCGGGGAGAACUUAUAGGGGAGACGACAUGCAACCAGCCUGGACUGAGGUCCGCGCAUCUGCUAGGAUGCUGGCGUAAUGGCUGUAAGCGGCCCGUCUUGAAACACGGACCAAGGAGUCUAACAUCUAUGCGAGUGUUUGGGUGUCAAGCCCGAGCGCGUAAUGAAAGUGAACGGAGGUGGGAACCUUUCGGGGUGCACCAUCGACCGAUCCUGAUGUCUUCGGAUGGAUUUGAGUAAGAGCAUAGCUGUUGGGACCCGAAAGAUGGUGAACUAUGCUUGAAUAGGGUGAAGCCAGAGGAAACUCUGGUGGAGGCUCGCAGCGGUUCUGACGUGCAAAUCGAUCGUCAAAUUUGGGCAUA
RNAcentral lists this ribosomal RNA (726 nucleotides) under Microsphaeropsis olivacea. RNAcentral's name for it is "eukaryotic LSU rRNA". It matches the Rfam family "Eukaryotic large subunit ribosomal RNA", at positions 175 to 919 of the family's 3401-position model. Lineage: Eukaryota; Fungi; Ascomycota; Dothideomycetes; Pleosporales; Didymellaceae. The record is from RNAcentral.